GGGGGAGUAGUUCAGUUGGUCAGAACGUCUGCCUGUCACGCAGAAGGCCGCGAGUUCGAGCCUCGUCUCUCCCGCCA
RNAcentral lists this transfer RNA (77 nucleotides) under Candidatus Cloacimonadota bacterium. Its description in RNAcentral is "tRNA-Asp". It matches the Rfam family "tRNA". From Rfam's summary of the family: Transfer RNA (tRNA) molecules are approximately 80 nucleotides in length. Their secondary structure includes four short double-helical elements and three loops (D, anti-codon, and T loops). RNAcentral also lists the same sequence under 1 other name. Lineage: Bacteria; Pseudomonadati; Candidatus Cloacimonadota. The record is from RNAcentral.